GAUGAAGAACGUAGCGAAAUGCGAUAAGUAACGUGAAUUGCAGAAUUCAGUGAAUCAUCGAAUCUUUGAACGCACAUUGCGCCCGCCAGUAUUCUGGCGGGCAUGCCUGUUCGAGCGUCAUUUCAACCAUCAAGCCCCCGGCUUGUGUUGGGGACCUGCGGCUGCCGCAGGCCCUGAAAAGCAGUGGCGGGCUCGCUGUCACACCGAGCGUAGUAGCAUACAUCUCGCUCUGGGCGUGCUGCGGGUUCCGGCCGUAAAACCACCUUCAUAACCCAAGGUUGACCUCGGAUCAGGUAGGAAGACCCGCUGAACUUAAGCAUAUCAAUAAGCGGAGGA
This 336-nucleotide unclassified non-coding RNA is filed under the name soil metagenome. Its description in RNAcentral is "partial contains 5.8S ribosomal RNA, internal transcribed spacer 2, and large subunit ribosomal RNA". The stretch from base 1 to 120 matches the Rfam family "5.8S ribosomal RNA", at positions 35 to 154 of the family's 154-position model. The record is from RNAcentral.